UGGGGAAUCUUGCGCAAUGGCCGAAAGGCUGACGCAGCGACGCCGCGUGUGGGAGGAAGCUCUUCGGGGUGUAAACCACUGUUGCCCGGGACGAACAGCCUCUUUCGAGGGGCCUGACGGUACCGGGUGAGGAAGCACCGGCUAACUCUGUGCCAGCAGCCGCGGUAAUACAGAGGGUGCGAGCGUUGUCCGGAAUCACUGGGCGUAAAGGGCGCGUAGGUGGUGGCUUAAGCGUGCGGUGAAAGCUCGGAGCUCAACUCCGAGUCGGCCGUGCGAACUGGGCUCACUGGAGCAUAGUAGAGGCAGGUGGAAUUCCGGGUGUAGCGGUGGAAUGCGUAGAGAUCCGGAAGAACACCGGUGGCGAAGGCGGCCUGCUGGGCUAUGGCUGACACUGAGGCGCGACAGCGUGGGGAGCAAACA
RNAcentral lists this ribosomal RNA (420 nucleotides) under uncultured Gemmatimonas sp. RNAcentral describes it as "bacterial SSU rRNA". It matches the Rfam family "Bacterial small subunit ribosomal RNA", at positions 355 to 774 of the family's 1533-position model. The record is from RNAcentral. Lineage: Bacteria; Pseudomonadati; Gemmatimonadota; Gemmatimonadia; Gemmatimonadales; Gemmatimonadaceae.